This is a long non-coding RNA of Eriocheir sinensis (Chinese mitten crab), 431 nucleotides long. RefSeq lists it as uncharacterized. The record is from RefSeq and is a predicted model, not a curated record. The transcript has 3 exons. Lineage: Eukaryota; Metazoa; Arthropoda; Malacostraca; Decapoda; Varunidae.
CCCCGACGGAGGUGCCGGAGAUCUUUCGGCUACAACGCCGGGCAGGUGGGGCUCGUUAGCCGUGGUAGGCAAUCUGCCUAGGAGAGCAAACUCCGAACAACAAACCCGGGCAGGUUGGGCUCGUGAGCCGUCAUAGGUAAUACACCUAGGAGAGCAAACUCCGAACAAUAAACCCGGGCAGGUUGGGCUCGUGAGCCGUCAUAGGUAAUACACCUAGGAGAGCAAACUCCGAACAAUAAACCCGGGCAGGUGGAGCUCGUCAGCCGUGGUAGGCAAUCUGCCUAGGAGAGCAAACUCCGAACAAUAAACCCGGGCAGGUGGAGCUCGUCAGCCGUGGUAGGCAGUCUGCCUAGGAGAGCAAACUCCGAACAAUAAACCCGGGCAGGUGGAGCUCGUCAGCCGUGGUAGGCAGUCUGCCUAGGAGAGCAAAC